GACAGAGGGUGCAACCGUUGUUCGGAAUUACUGGGCGUAAAGCGCGUGUAGGCGGCCCUGCAAGUCGGAUGUGAAAUCCCACGGCUCAACCGUGGAAGUGCAUUCGAAACUGCAGGGCUAGAGUCCUGGAGAGGAAGGUGGAAUGCUUGGUGUAGAGGUGAAAUUCGUAGAUAUCAAGCGGAACACCGGUGGCGAAGGCGGUUCUCUGGGCCUUACCUGACGCUGAGGAGCGAAAGCGUGGGGAGCGAACAGG
RNAcentral lists this ribosomal RNA (253 nucleotides) under uncultured bacterium. RNAcentral's name for it is "partial 16S ribosomal RNA". It matches the Rfam family "Bacterial small subunit ribosomal RNA", at positions 524 to 776 of the family's 1533-position model. The record is from RNAcentral.